This 451-nucleotide ribosomal RNA is filed under the name uncultured bacterium. RNAcentral describes it as "partial 16S ribosomal RNA". It matches the Rfam family "Bacterial small subunit ribosomal RNA", at positions 28 to 523 of the family's 1533-position model. The record is from RNAcentral.
GGCGAACGCUGGCGGCAGGCCUAACACAUGCAAGUCGAGCGGGCGUCGCAAGACGUCAGCGGCAGACGGGAGAGUAACACGUGGGAACGUACCCUUCGGUUCGGAAUAACCCAGGGAAACUUGGACUAAUACCGGAUACGUCCGUAAGGAGAAAGAUUUAUCGCCGAAGGAUCGGCCCGCGUCCGAUUAGCUAGUUGGUGGGGUAAUGGCCCACCAAGGCGACGAUCGGUAGCUGGUCUGAGAGGAUGAUCAGCCUCACUGGGACUGAGACACGGCCCAGACUCCUACGGGAGGCAGCAGUGGGGAAUAUUGGACAAUGGGCGCAAGCUUGAUCCAGCCAUGCCGCGUGGGUGAUGAAGGCCCUAGGGUUGUAAAGCCCUUUCGGCGGGGAAGAUAAUGACGGUACCCGCAGAAGAAGCCCCGGCUAACUUCGUGCCAGCAGCCGCGGUAA